UUCGGUGCGUAAACUCCUUUUAUAUGAGAAGAUAAUGACGGUAUCAUAUGAAUAAGCACCGGCUAACUCCGUGCCAGCAGCCGCGGUAAUACGGGGGGUGCAAGCGUUACUCGGAAUCACUGGGCGUAAAGAGCAUGUAGGCGGAUUGAUAAGUUUGAAGUGAAAUCCUAUAGCUUAACUAUAGAACUGCUUUGAAAACUGUUAAUCUAGAAUGUGGGAGAGGUAGAUGGAAUUUCUGGUGUAGGGGUAAAAUCCGUAGAGAUCAGAAGGAAUACCGAUUGCGAAGGCGAUCUACUGGAACACUAUUGACGCUGAGAUGCGAAAGCGUGGGGAGCAAACAGGAUUAGAUACCCUGGUAGUCCACGCCCUAAACGAUGUACACUAGUUGUUGUGAGACUUGAUCUUGCAGUAAUGCAGUUAACACAUUAAGUGUACCGCCUGGGGAGUAC
Molecule: ribosomal RNA, 449 nt
Filed under: uncultured Arcobacter sp.
Lineage: Bacteria; Pseudomonadati; Campylobacterota; Epsilonproteobacteria; Campylobacterales; Arcobacteraceae
Description: bacterial SSU rRNA
Rfam family: Bacterial small subunit ribosomal RNA
Source: RNAcentral